GGGAGCUUAACUGGCAGUUGUGGGGGCACCGGGAGGGAAGCUAAUUUUCCUUGCCGGCGACCGGCGCACGGGUGAGUAACACGUAUGCAACCUGCCCUCUUCAGGGGGACAACCUUCCGAAAGGGAGGCUAAUCCCGCGUAUAUCGGUUUCGGGCAUCCGUUAUCGAGGAAAGAUUCAUCGGAAGAGGAUGGGCAUGCGGCGCAUUAGCUAGACGGCGGGGUAACGGCCCACCGUGGCGACGAUGCGUAGGGGUUCUGAGAGGAAGGUCCCCCACACUGGUACUGAGACACGGACCAGACCCCUACGGGAGGCAGCAGUGAGGAAUAUUGGUCAAUGGGAGAGAUCCUGAACCAGCCAAGCCGCGUGAGGGAAGACGGCCCUAUGGGUUGUAAACCUCUUUUGUCGGAGAACAAAACCCGGGACGUGUCCCGGACUGCGUGUAUCCGAAGAAAAAGCAUCGGCUAACUCCGUGCCAGCAGCCGCGGUAAUACGGAGGAUGCGAGCGUUAUCCGGAUUUAUUGGGUUUAAAGGGUGCGUAGGCGGUCUGUUAAGUCAGCGGUAAAAUUGCGGGGCUCAACCCCGUCGAGCCGUUGAAACUGGCAGACUUGAGUUGGCGAGAAGUACGCGGAAUGCGCGGUGUAGCGGUGAAAUGCAUAGAUAUCGCGCAGAACUCCGAUUGCGAAGGCAGCGUACCGGCGCCAGACUGACGCUGAGGCACGAAAGCGUGGGGAUCGAACAGGAUUAGAUAC
Molecule: ribosomal RNA, 750 nt
Filed under: uncultured bacterium
Lineage: Bacteria
Description: bacterial SSU rRNA
Rfam family: Bacterial small subunit ribosomal RNA
Source: RNAcentral